RNAcentral lists this small RNA (89 nucleotides) under Marmota monax (woodchuck). The record is from RNAcentral. Lineage: Eukaryota; Metazoa; Chordata; Mammalia; Rodentia; Sciuridae.
GCUGGGUGUGGUGGUGUACACCUGUAAUCCCACUUACUUGAGAGGCUGAGGCUGGAAGGUCACAAGUUCUAGGCUAGUUUCAGUCACUU